UCAUCACCAGUACCUGCGUGCUGUACAUCAGCUUUCAUAAAAACUUUUAAUUCCACCGUUAAGUGCUAUUAUAAAAGAAGACAAUCUUUGAGAAUAUAUCCAAACUGCUCUGACAUUGCACUUGGAAGCUAGAAGCUUUUGAAAAGGAAGUUUCAGGGUGAGAGAAGAAUUCGGCACGUCUUGGUGAACAUGAUGAAGACUUUUUUGCUUCUCUUUGUGGUGAUGGCCCUUUUCGCGUGCAAAGGUCACACCUUAACCGUUAUGAUUCCUUGUAGUAAAUUGGCUUACAGGAAAGUUGUGAACGUGGGUACCAAGGUCGCUUCUUCACCUAGUAUUUCAACAGUAGUUCCGUUGUACGAUAAAACUUGCUACAAUGAAUGUUUGACAAUCUGUAGCAGAGAAGGACAAGGACGAUGAGACAAUCGUGUUUGACAAAUGCUACGCUUUCUCUUCUUUUGUUGACCCUUUGUGCUAUUGCUUUGGAUGGACUGGAUGGGGUGGAUUGGAUUUACCCGACUGGCGUCAUGCUGAUGGCUUCGAAUCGGCCUACUGCAAAGCAUAGUUUUCAGGAACAAUCUCCAAAGUUUUACAAAAACACUUUCAUGAUGAAUGUAGUUAACUAAUACCAUUAGUAAUAUUCAAUAUUAUAAAAUAACACAACCAAA
Xenia sp. Carnegie-2017 is the source of this 665-nucleotide long non-coding RNA. RefSeq lists it as uncharacterized. The record is from RefSeq and is a predicted model, not a curated record. The transcript has 3 exons. Lineage: Eukaryota; Metazoa; Cnidaria; Anthozoa; Malacalcyonacea; Xeniidae.